GCUGGAGUAGCUCAUUUGGUUAGAGCGUGUGGCUGUUAACCACAACAAGGUUGAAGGUUCAAGUCUUUCCUCUAGCG
This 77-nucleotide transfer RNA is filed under the name Ipomoea nil (Japanese morning glory). It matches the Rfam family "tRNA". Rfam says of the family: Transfer RNA (tRNA) molecules are approximately 80 nucleotides in length. Their secondary structure includes four short double-helical elements and three loops (D, anti-codon, and T loops). The record is from Rfam by way of RNAcentral. Lineage: Eukaryota; Viridiplantae; Streptophyta; Magnoliopsida; Solanales; Convolvulaceae.